CUCUCCUACGGGAGGCAGCAGUGAGGAAUAUUGGUCAAUGCGCGGGAGCCUGAACCAGCCAAGUCGCGUGAGGGAAGACGGUCCUACGGAUUGUAAACCUCUUUUGCCGGGGAGCAACGGGGUCCUUGCGAGGGCCCGAUGAGAGUACCCGGAGAAAAAGCAUCGGCUAACUCCGUGCCCGCAGCCGCGGUAAUACGGAGGAUGCGAGCGUUAUCCGGAUUUAUUGGGUUUAAAGGGUGCGUAGGCGGACGCUUAAGUCAGCGGUAAAAUUGCGGGGCUCAACCUCGUCGAG
Molecule: ribosomal RNA, 292 nt
Filed under: uncultured bacterium
Lineage: Bacteria
Description: partial 16S ribosomal RNA
Rfam family: Bacterial small subunit ribosomal RNA
Source: RNAcentral